UUAUUUUUGCACGUUUCUGGUUUGUUUACGAUUGCGUUUCGUUCUCCAGGGGUCAUUUAGAGAUGCUGAACGAAUUGGUUAAGAUGGAAAAGUCUGGAGUGCAACAGAAGAUUUUGUUGUUCCACGCUUUAGAGAGGAUUUCACCUGCGAGAGCAACUAAGAAAUGACGUCGAGGGGAUGGUGAGACAGUUUGGGAUGAUGUCAACCACCUUGGAGAGGAUGGGACCUUCAGGAGGACCCUGUCUGAAGACCCUUGGGCAGGGAAAACAUCAGGAAAUCUACUGCUGAACCAUACAGGAUACUCUACACAGACAAGAGGUCGAGGAGGACGCGAUCAAGAUUUCAGCCGUCCGAGGGAACUGCGACCACGGACGCGGUGGGACUGUGUUACCAACGUGCCAAGACUUUUAGUUCGUGGAGAUUCAGAUCACCUUGCUGAAGACUGUGCCAGAGAGUUCAAUUCAGCUCAAGGAAAAUCAGAGAAAUAUGGCGAAGGUUAUCCAGUGGGGACACCAUCGAUAUAGCAACAGAGACAAUCUCGAAGAGGCUGACAAGGUCUUUAUAGGUUAGUGUCAAGGUAGGUCAUAUUCAGACCAAGGCAUUGGUGGACUGUGGGGCAGUCCCUAAUAUUACUCAUACCCUCGUGUAUUGAGAAAUCAAAGCGAGGAUUAUAACCUCUGACAUACACCCACCAGACUAUGAGGUAUUACUGGUGGAGCUAUGCCAGCCGCAGGAAUCGCUCAACUACCCUGCAAAUUUGCGGAUUAAAAGUUUGAAAUAGAAUUCCUGGGCAGAUCCAGAAAAAAAAAACUUUGUUUCCCGGGAGAAUUGCAAGUGCAGACAUUGAUAAUUGAUUUUGGGUUAAAGGAAAUCUGUGUAUGGGAACAGAUAACAAACCCUGGAGUUAUACAGACAAUGGGUACUAGAGGGAUCAGAUGUAGUCUCAGGGGCUUCAACCACAUAUAAACAAAAGCUGGGAAAAAAACAUUCCUACACAGGGCACCCUCACAAUCUCCCAGAUCAAGACUGGGGCUUAGAGAGGCGGAAAAUGAUGAGAAAAUUAAUCAUCAUGAGUGUAGAUUCAGCAGAAGAGAUACCCCCAAACCAUGCUGCGGUUGUUUGGGUUACUCUUCCAUCAUAUGACGAGAUGUUCCAGGAGGGAACCAUUGUGCUGAUUCAUAGUUGGGUCAAUAAUUUUUUGGCUGAGCUAUAGCCUUGCCCCAUGGAUCUGCAACAACUCAAAGGAUCACCAUACCACAGUGGAAAUUUCAAAUAAUGCAUCAGAGGAUGCAGUGAUUCUUACAGAAGGUUAUUCUAACCUGUAAAGCCCCUAUUACACAUAUCCGGUUUCCUACGGCCAACCUGGCCUACGGCGCCGUAGGAAAAUUCUGGCCUACGGCUAGAGUUAUUACACGUAUUUGAACGGCCGGUGGCAAGUGGGUCUGUGUGGCACUGUUUGUGGUGGAGUCACCAUGUCUUCUCUCGACGACAGUCUCGUUGCUAUUGCUCUAGCGUGCUGUUUGAAGGUGAAAACAAGAAAA
Penaeus monodon (black tiger shrimp) is the source of this 1541-nucleotide long non-coding RNA. RefSeq lists it as uncharacterized. The transcript is spliced from 3 exons. Lineage: Eukaryota; Metazoa; Arthropoda; Malacostraca; Decapoda; Penaeidae. The record is from RefSeq and is a predicted model, not a curated record.